CCUACGGUGGGCAGCAGUGAGGAAUAUUGGUCAAUGGGCGCGAGCCUGAACCAGCCAAGUAGCGUGAAGGAUGACUGCCUUACGGGUUGUAAACUUCUUUUAUAAAGGAAUAAAGUGAGGCACGUGUGCCUUUUUGUACGUACUUUAUGAAUAAGGAUCGGCUAACUUCGCGCCAGCAGCCGCGGUAAUACGGAGGAUCCGAGCGUUAUCCGGAUUUAUUGGGUUUAAAGGGAGCGUAGAUGGGUUGUUAAGUCAGUUGUGAAAGUUUGGGGCUCAACCGUAAAAUUGCAAUUGAUACUGGCAACCUAGAGUACAGUUGAGGUAAGCGGAAUUCGUGGUGUAGCGGUGAAAUGCUUAGAUAUCACGAAGAACUCCGAUUGCGAAGGCAGCCUACUAAACUGCCACUGACAUUGAUGCUCGAAAGUGUGGGUAUCAAACAGGAUUAGAUACCCCAGUAGUC
RNAcentral lists this ribosomal RNA (460 nucleotides) under uncultured bacterium. RNAcentral describes it as "partial 16S ribosomal RNA". It matches the Rfam family "Bacterial small subunit ribosomal RNA", at positions 338 to 795 of the family's 1533-position model. The record is from RNAcentral.